UACGAAGGGUGCAAGCGUUAAUCGGAAUUACUGGGCGUAAAGCGCGCGUAGGUGGUUCAGUAAGUUGGAAGUGAAAUCCCCGGGCUCAACCUGGGAACUGCUUUCAAAACUGCUGAGCUAGAGUACGGUAGAGGGUGGUGGAAUUUCCUGUGUAGCGGUGAAAUGCGUAGAUAUAGGAAGGAACACCAGUGGCGAAGGCGACCACCUGGACUGAUACUGACACUGAGGUGCGAAA
Molecule: ribosomal RNA, 235 nt
Filed under: uncultured bacterium
Lineage: Bacteria
Description: partial 16S ribosomal RNA
Rfam family: Bacterial small subunit ribosomal RNA
Source: RNAcentral